GACGAACGCUGGCGGCGUGCUUAACACAUGCAAGUCGAACGGAAAGGCCCUGCUUUUGUGGGGUGCUCGAGUGGCGAACGGGUGAGUAACACGUGAGUAACCUGCCCUUGACUUUGGGAUAACUUCAGGAAACUGGGGCUACUACCGGAUAGGAGCUCCUGCUGCAUGGUGGGGGUUGGAAAGUUUCGGCGGUUGGGGAUGGACUCGCGGCUUAUCAGCUUGUUGGUGGGGUAGUGGCUUACCAAGGCUUUGACGGGUAGCCGGCCUGGGAGGGUGGACAGCGACAUUAGUACUGAGAGACGGACCAGAGUCCUACGGGAGACAGUAGGGGGGAACAUGGCACAAUGGGCGGGAGCCUGAUGCAACAACGCCGCGAGCGUGAUGACGGCCUUCGGGUUGUAAACCGCUGUCGCCUGUGACGAAGCGGUAGUGACGUUAAUGAGUAAAGAAGCACCGGCUAACUACGUG
RNAcentral lists this ribosomal RNA (468 nucleotides) under uncultured bacterium. RNAcentral describes it as "partial 16S ribosomal RNA". It matches the Rfam family "Bacterial small subunit ribosomal RNA", at positions 28 to 507 of the family's 1533-position model. The record is from RNAcentral.